UGGGGAAUAUUGGACAAUGGGCGAAAGCCUGAUCCAGCCAUGCCGCGUGUGUGAAGAAGGUCUUCGGAUUGUAAAGCACUUUAAGUUGGGAGGAAGGGCAGCUACCUAAUACGUGAUUGCUUUGACGUUACCGACAGAAUAAGCACCGGCUAACUUUGUC
This 160-nucleotide ribosomal RNA is filed under the name uncultured bacterium. RNAcentral describes it as "partial 16S ribosomal RNA". It matches the Rfam family "Bacterial small subunit ribosomal RNA", at positions 355 to 507 of the family's 1533-position model. The record is from RNAcentral.